UGGUCUACUCGUAGCCGAUCUCAUCAGAAACGAUCGGCGCUUCAAAAUCGUCGAAAACACUGUCGAACUGCUUGCGGACGAUAGCCAUUCGCGUUUACUGAAAGACCUCGAUUUCGUGGUCGUAGAUGUUGAGGCCACUGGAGCUAAGACACCUCCCAACCGGCUUAUCGAACUCGGC
RNAcentral lists this unclassified non-coding RNA (178 nucleotides) under uncultured fungus. Its description in RNAcentral is "sequence contains ITS1". The record is from RNAcentral. Lineage: Eukaryota; Fungi.